GUGCCAGCCGCCGCGGUAAAACGUAGGAGCCAAGCGUUAUCCGAAUUCACUGGGCGUAAAGCGCGUGCAGGCGGCCGGGUAAGUUGGCUGUGAAAUCUCCUGGCUCAACUGGGAGAGGCCGGUCAAGACUAUUCGGCUCGAGGACGGUAGAGGAAGGUAGAAUUCCCGGUGUAGUGGUGAAAUGCGUAGAUAUCGGGAGGAAUACCCGUGGCGAAAGCGGCCUUCUGGACCGGACCUGACGCUCAGACGCGAAAGCCAGGGGAGCGAACGGGAUUAGAAACCCGUGUAGUCC
Molecule: ribosomal RNA, 292 nt
Filed under: uncultured bacterium
Lineage: Bacteria
Description: partial 16S ribosomal RNA
Rfam family: Bacterial small subunit ribosomal RNA
Source: RNAcentral